This 243-nucleotide ribosomal RNA is filed under the name Salmonella enterica subsp. enterica serovar Heidelberg. RNAcentral's name for it is "partial 23S ribosomal RNA". It matches the Rfam family "Bacterial large subunit ribosomal RNA", at positions 1162 to 1319 of the family's 2925-position model. RNAcentral also lists the same sequence under 2 other names. Lineage: Bacteria; Pseudomonadati; Pseudomonadota; Gammaproteobacteria; Enterobacterales; Enterobacteriaceae. The record is from RNAcentral.
CGCGGAAGAUGUAACGGGGCUAAACCAUGCACCGAAGCUGCGGCAGCGAACGUAUCACCCAAGACAACUUUACGGAGUUGACGAUUGACGGAGCGAAGCGACGUCAAAGCGUUCAUUAAAGUCGAGUUGGCUUAGGGAUACGUUCGUUGGGUAGGGGAGCGUUCUGUAAGCCUGUGAAGGUGUGUCGUGAGGCAUGCUGGAGGUAUCAGAAGUGCGAAUGCUGACAUAAGUAACGAUAAAGCG